CCCGCACGUUAAAAUCAACUUUCUUUCGCAGCCCCGAAAGCAAAUAGACCAUUAGAAAGCCGCCGUUAGAAUUUCUUCUGCCUCUUACCAAUGCCGACAAAAAUCAAUUCGAUGAUCUGAUUGGUAGCUUCAUUCGUCUCUAAACCAACAUAGAAUCUUCUAAUGCCGUCGAGUUCCAGUUCAGUGAAGCUGUGAGUUAAUCUUUUGAAUUUUUUUUACAUCUAUUAGCUUUUCGAUUUGAGCAUCGUUUAUGGAAAUUCUCGAGGUUAUGGGUUUCGUAGGACAUAAAAAUUGAAAGGAGCCAAACAUUUCUGCGUUCUAGGAAGAGUGGAAUCUUGUACUUCGAUUCUUCGUAGAAUUGCUCUUACCUGUUUCACUUGCUAUUCUUUUUUAAAAAAUCAUUUCAUCGGGUACAUUUUGUCAUAUUAACAAGUUCCUUUUUACUUGAUAGGGGAUUCAGAUAAUUUUUCUUGAUAGAAAGUUGCUGUUGAAAUUGAUCUAUUGACAUGGGUGAUAGCAAUAGUAAUUCGCCCCCUGGGUCUCCUAAAGAAAACCCAGAUCACGAUUCUGAGAAAAAACCGAUUGGCAAGGAUGAUAGCACACUGGAAACCAUAGUCCGUAGGAUCCGGGACUCAAUUUCUACAGGCAAGAAACACAAAUUUUGGGAAACCCAACCAGUAGGUCAAUUCAAAGACAUCCGGGAUGCAAUUUUGCCAGAGGGCCCUAUUGAGCCUCCAACUCCAUUGUCUGAAGUGAAGCAAGAACCUUACAAUCUCCCUAGCCCGUAUGAAUGGACCACUUGUGAUAUUGAGUUGGAAGAGACUUGUUCUGAGGUCUACAAUCUCUUGAAGAAUAAUUAUGUCGAGGAUGAUGAAAACAUGUUUAGAUUUAAUUACUCUAAGGAGUUCCUAAGGUGGGCUUUGCACCCUCCUGGUUAUUACAGAAGCUGGCACAUUGGGGUCCGUGCCAAGGCUUCAAAGAAGCUCGUUGCCUUUAUAACAGGUGUACCUGCUAGGAUUAGAGUGCGUGAUGUUGUCGUGAAAAUGGCUGAGAUCAAUUUCUUAUGUGUUCAUAAGAAGCUCAGGUCAAAGAGACUUGCCCCAGUUAUGAUUAAGGAGGUUACCAGGAGGGUUCAUUUGGAGAAUAUCUGGCAAGCUGCUUACACUGCUGGAGUGGUUCUUCCAACUCCAAUAACAACUUGUCAGUAUUGGCAUAGGUCUUUGAACCCAAAGAAGCUUAUUGAUGUUGGCUUCUCCAGGCUUGGAGCGAGAAUGACUAUGAGCCGAACCAUAAAACUUUACAAGUUACCAGAUUCACCAGCUACUCCUGGAUUUAGAAAAAUGGAGCUUCAUGAUGUACCUGCUGUUACACGAUUGCUCAGACAUUACAUGAACCAGUUUAUUGUUGCUCCAGACUUUGAUGAGAAUGAUGUGGAGCACUGGCUUCUUCCAACUGAGAAUGUGGUUGAUAGUUACUUGGUUGAGAGUCAAGAGACUCACGAGAUCACUGACUUCUGCAGCUUCUACACCCUUCCAUCAUCUAUCCUUGGCAACCAGAAUUACUCGACUUUGAAGGUUGCUUAUUCAUUUUAUAAUGUUGCUACUAAGACUCCACUACUUCAGUUGAUGAACGAUGCACUUAUUGUUGCCAAGCAAAAGGAUUUUGACGUUUUUAAUGCUUUAGAUGUCAUGCAAAACCAGUCUUUCCUGAAAGAGCUGAAAUUUGGACCUGGUGAUGGGCAACUUCACUAUUAUCUUUAUAAUUAUCGGAUACGAAAUGGUGUCACACCAUCAGAACUUGGGCUUGUACUCUUGUAGUUUCAUGUGUCUGAAGGUGCACACUGUGAUUUCUAUUGAUGAUAAGGUCUGUGGGUUGCAUUUUUUCCCCUUUCCUGAGCAGCCAUGGCAGCAGCAAAAAAAUGAGAAUUUGCAGUGUAUUUGAGAACCAGGUCUGGUCCAGUGGUUUUAUACAUCCUAAGUUGGGACAAUAUCAAUGUUGUUUACCAUUCAAAUUGUUAUCUGGACACGAAUGUUUUUGAGAGCUUGAAUACCCUUUCCAUUCUUGAAUUUAGCUAUCUCUCAUUUUCUUUUCCUGCAUAAGUCUGUGGGACAUCCAUGCUAUGGGCAGCAUGAUUAUUAUUGUUUGCGUAAGUAGCUGGAGUUGCGUUUGUGGCAGCAAUUAAUUUCUAUUUGUAUAUGUGUUUUCUCAUUUUCAGUAGGCUUAUGGUUGACGGUUAAUAUGACGAUCUAAUACCCGUCAAUAAUGUUCUUUCUAUUCAAGUGUUAAAUGAAAUGGCCGUACGCUACUGAAUGUUGAUCCUUAAAUGAAAGACCAAAAGGCAAAAGCAACUUUAAGGAAUUAUGCAAUUUUGAUGGAUUCUAG
This 2382-nucleotide unclassified non-coding RNA is filed under the name Hevea brasiliensis (rubber tree). Lineage: Eukaryota; Viridiplantae; Streptophyta; Magnoliopsida; Malpighiales; Euphorbiaceae. The record is from RNAcentral.